UAGUGCAUACGCACAAUGCUUGAAAACAAACAACAGCGCACCUAGCUUGAAAAUAAAAUACCCAGAAUUUUGGGGGCCCUAUUCUGAACCAAUAUCAUGGGCCCAGAUAACAGAAGGACAUCUCAUAACAUGCGAACUUCCUAUACAUAAUUCACCCAGCUAUGCUGUGCCACACUACUGCAGAUUGGAUUACAAUAAGAAUAAAAAAUAAGCUAAUAGUGAGAACAUUCACUUGCAUAUACAAGAUAUCAGGACCACACAUGGCCUUCAGCAGCUAGAGUAUUGACAUAUGAUGAAUAGAAACCAAUGGAUAUACAGGCAUGAAGCUAUUCAAUAAAGUGUAUAGAGAGUCCAUACCAUGACCUACUGACAUCCAGCAGCUUCAGUGCUUGACCACCUUGAACAAAAGCCCAACAUGUCCACAUGCGAAAUAUACAUAGAAACGAGUACUUCAAUAAAUCUCAUCAUUUUCAGGAACUUCAAUAAAAAUCCAUAGGAACUAUAAGCAGCAAUGACCAAGAAAUUCAAAGAAUAAAGGACACAAGAGGAUCAAGUUCGUUUGAAGUUGUGAUUACAAGCUGUUCAUUCUCGAAUAGAACAUCAUUAGAUACUGUGGUCUAAUUUGAAAAAGAGGGACCUAAGAUGACAUAAACGCAAAACAGAGGAAACAUUUAAUAUGUUGCACGUAAAUAGUUUGGGAAAAAUGCUUGGGGGAAACCUGGACAGCUGAAACUGAAACUAGUAAAUACUAACGGUGAAAUCUAUAUAGCAUACGGGAAAAAGAGGGAGGAGAAUCUACGUAUUAAAUUGUGCUAGACAGAGAAAAUGGCAGGAAAGAAACAUAAACGGACAAUUGGCCAGGUGGCAAACUGAGUUUUUCAACCACUAUAGUAGCAAAAAUCAGUUAUUAUCUGCUAUAUAGUUAGAAGGAAAGUAAAACCUCUAAAAAGAUGUGGUCAGAUAACAAUUAGCAGUCAUUAAUGAACUUUUCAAUACCUACCUUAUACUUGAAUAAAGUUUUAGGGGUGAAUCUUCGAGUCCCUUCUCAUACCAAAUGCUGUGACUUCAGUCAACACCUUCCAAAUACAUAACAGGAAAAAAAGGACAAAUGAGCUGCCAACAGUAUGCAAGCAUUCUAUAAGAUGUCAAAGGAUAAAGAGAAGUACCACAAAAUGAAAGAGCUUCGGGCACAUCAAGAUGAAGCUGGUUAAUAAUUUCUAAAUCUCUGCAUCUCAAGCUGAUAAGCAAAAAUACA
RNAcentral lists this long non-coding RNA (1255 nucleotides) under Oryza sativa (Asian cultivated rice). RNAcentral describes it as "long non-coding RNA (OSAT_LNC001905)". Lineage: Eukaryota; Viridiplantae; Streptophyta; Magnoliopsida; Poales; Poaceae. The record is from RNAcentral.